This 71-nucleotide transfer RNA is filed under the name Canis lupus familiaris (dog). It matches the Rfam family "tRNA". From Rfam's summary of the family: Transfer RNA (tRNA) molecules are approximately 80 nucleotides in length. RNAcentral also lists the same sequence under 1 other name. Lineage: Eukaryota; Metazoa; Chordata; Mammalia; Carnivora; Canidae. The record is from Rfam by way of RNAcentral.
GCCUGGCUGGCUCAGUUGGUAGAGUGUGGGACUCUUGAUCCUAGGGUUGAGUUCAAGCCCCACGUUGGGCA